RNAcentral lists this ribosomal RNA (288 nucleotides) under uncultured bacterium. RNAcentral describes it as "partial 16S ribosomal RNA". It matches the Rfam family "Bacterial small subunit ribosomal RNA", at positions 28 to 312 of the family's 1533-position model. The record is from RNAcentral.
GACGAACGCUGGCGGCGCGCCUCAUACAUGCAAGUCGAACGAAAAACUCGGAGCUUGCUCCGGGUGGACAGUGGCGAACGGGUGAGUAACACGUGAGAAACCUGCCCGAAGACCGGGACAACACCGGGAACCGGUGCUAAUACCGGAUGUCCUUACCGGACCGCAUGAUCUGGUAAAGGAAAUGGAUUCCGCUUCGGGAUGGUCUCGCGGCCUAUCAGCUUGUUGGCGGGGUAAUCGGCCCCACCAAGGCUACGACGGGUAGCUGGUCUGAGAGGAUGUCCAGCCACA